GACGAACGCUGGCGGCGUGCUUAACACAUGCAAGUCGAACGGAAAGGCCCUGCUUUUGUGGGGUGCUCGAGUGGCGAACGGGUGAGUAACACGUGAGUAACCUGCCCUUUACUUUGGGAUAACUUCAGGAAACUGGGGCUAAUACCGGAUAGGAGCUCCUGCUGCAUGGUGGGGGUUGGAAAGUUUCGGCGGUUGGGGAUGGACUCGCGGCUUAUCAGCUUGUUGGUGGGGUAGUGGCUUACCAAGGCUUUGACGGGUAGCCGGCCUGAGAGGGUGACCGGCCACAUUGGGACUGAGAUACGGCCCAGACGCCUACGGGAGGCAGCGGUGGAGAAUAUUGCACAAUGGGCGGAAGGCUGAAGCAGCAACGCCGCGUGCGGGAUGACGGCCUGCGGGUUGUAACCGCUUUCGCCUGUGACGAAGCGUGAGUGACGGUAAUGGGUAAAGAAGCACCGGCUAACUACGUG
RNAcentral lists this ribosomal RNA (467 nucleotides) under uncultured bacterium. RNAcentral's name for it is "partial 16S ribosomal RNA". It matches the Rfam family "Bacterial small subunit ribosomal RNA", at positions 28 to 507 of the family's 1533-position model. The record is from RNAcentral.